This 497-nucleotide ribosomal RNA is filed under the name uncultured bacterium. RNAcentral's name for it is "partial 16S ribosomal RNA". It matches the Rfam family "Bacterial small subunit ribosomal RNA", at positions 28 to 507 of the family's 1533-position model. The record is from RNAcentral.
GAUGAACGCUGGCGGCGUGCCUAAUACAUGCAAGUCGAGCGAACAGACGAGGAGCUUGCUCCUCUGACGUUAGCGGCGGAGGGGAGAGUAACAUGUGGAUAACGUACCUAUAAGACUGGGAUAACUUCGGGAAAGCGGAGCAAAGAGGGGAGAAUAUAUUGAACCGCAGGGGGCAAUAGAGAAAGACGGUGUUGCGGGCAGGUAUAGAUGGAUCUGCGCCGCAUGAGCUAGUUGGGAAGGAAACGGGUUACCAAGGCAACGAUGCGUAGCCGACGUGAGAGAGUGGUCGGCCACCCUGGAGCUGAGACACCGUCCAUACUCCUACGAGACGCAGCAGUAUGGUAUCUUCCGCAGUGGUCGGAAGCCUUACAGAACGGCGCCACGUCAGUUAUGGAAGUCUUCGGUUCGUGAAACUCUGUUAUUAGUGAAGAACAAAUGUGUAAGUAACUAUACACGUCUUGACGGUACCUAAUCAGAAAGCCACGGCUAACUACGUG